Molecule: long non-coding RNA, 2521 nt
Filed under: Zea mays
Lineage: Eukaryota; Viridiplantae; Streptophyta; Magnoliopsida; Poales; Poaceae
Description: long non-coding RNA (ZMAY_LNC002765)
Source: RNAcentral
GCUGCAUAGCCGACCAGAUCAUUAGCCAUCACGCGUGGCCCAAACCAACAUUUCACUACACCACGGCCCGCAUCUCUCCUUUUUGACGCUGGCGCGUGGUCCCGCACCUCAGCCAUGCAUGAGGUCACUAGCAAAUGGGACAGCCCUGCCAACACCUUCAUCCAGCUGUAAUCACAACCAACUCGUGCAACCCAACUCGAUCUAAAUCCACCGUGAUUGCUCGUCGGCGAACCAGGGGCGCCAUGAAGCCACCAUGUCACAUGGACUGAAGCAUGUCUCCACCGUCGCCGGUAAGAACACAUUUAUCUUAUUUGCCUUCUUCGUCUUGUAGUGCAUGUCGGGGUUAGAUUUGGGUCACCAGUAUGUUGGUUUGGCCAAACUCCGGCCAACCUCAAGAUCCCUAGACAUCGAUUGGUUAGACCCGAUCUGAGCCGUCGAUCGAGCGAUGAACGGUGUAGAGCAGAUCGCGACAUUUUAAAUCUCGGUCGUAGGUCAUUGAUCCAAGGAUCGUGAUGGCGUGUCGGUUCAUGGUAUCGAGCGUCUAAUUUAGGUCGUCGAUCGGUUCAGGCGUACCCAUAAAUAGCUACCAUGGCGCUUUUCAUAAAGAGCCCUUGGGGAAAAUGAGAAUUACCCGCCAUCUAGACAGUUUAAGGGCAUGUUUGUUUACCCCCCAGAUUAUAUAAUCUGGAUUAAAUAAUCCUAAGAGGCAAACAAACAGUCUAGCUUAUUUGCCCAGAUUAUAUAAUCUAACCCCUUGGAUUAUGAUAAUCCAUAAGCAAGUGAGGAGGUGCUUAUUUCAGAUUAUUUUUUCCCACUUCCCCACUACCCUUUCAAGUUUCCUAGAAAUUACCCACCAUUGCCAUUAUAAUCUACCGAAUCGUUUUUGCGCCUAUCGGAUCGGAGAAGCCCGCCGCCCAACAGAAACACGCCAAAUAAUCUGGGUAAACAAACAGGACUACUCAGAUUAUAUAAUCCAAAUUAUAUAAUCCAGAUUAUAUAAUCCUCCAAAAAUAAUCCAGAUUAUAUAAUCCAUUGGGGUAAACAAACAGGCCCUAAGAAUCAAUCAAAGUAGGUACUCGAAUUUACACCGAGCACCCUAAGUUCCUCAAUUUUUAUACCAGCCCUCCACCAACGCUUGAUUUUUGUCAAAUUAAAAUCUGAAAAUCCAUUUUUGAUAUUAAAAAAGUCCAAAAACUUGUAAAUCUUGAUCGUUUUAACUCCGAUUUUAGUGGUUCUCGAACCUACGAUUACGUCUCGACCCGUAAAAUAUUAUUAUGUUGUUUGUUUGCAUGUUUGGUGUAAUGUUAUUUGUAUCCAUUAUUUGCUUAUUUGUAUGUAUUGCUACAAAUAAAAGUGAGGUGACGGGAAUUUGAAGACCAACUUUGAGGAGUACCUGUAAUUGCAAGUAAUGGCAAGUUAUGUCCUUGAUCACAUUCUUUGACCUAAUAAUGUUCAUGAUUCCGAUAAUCACUAUGGCACUGUUAGGCUAAAUCUGAUGGGAUCUAAUAGGUUACCUAGUUUUGUUCACCCUACACUUUGCAUACAAAUGAAUUUUUGGGUAGUUCUGCUAUUGCUCUAUCUUGUUUUGGGUGCCAUACUAUAUGUGAAUCAUGAUCAUGCUUAUUACUAUUGUUACCUGUUUAUGAGUUAUUUAUGAUACAUGAUUAGAUCAUUUUGUUAACUGGAACAUGGAGCUUAACCUGAGAUAACAGUGCUACCACAAGAGUGGUAUGGGACGUCCUUGGCCAAUUAAUUAGGAAAUAUGGUAUGUGAGAGCCUUACCCGAAAGGAGCAAGCAGGGAGGAGUUGCGCAAGUAUAGGGAGGUUCUCAGGUCGAUCUGUGUGUGAUAGCUAUUUGGACAAGGGAUUCAUAUAUCCCACUACCUGAAUUCAUAGCGGGUUUUCUCAUACUAGUAGACAUUUGUAUAGGCCUCGUAGUGUACCAUCGCCUACUCACCUUAGGAGUGUUUAAGGGUUCGUACAACCCCGGGCCAAAAGUGAACACGACUUGUGGAUAAAGAUGCACAACAUCUGCAGAGUGUAAAACUGGUAUAUCAGUCAUGCUCACGGUCAUGAGUGACUCAAGACUCUCGCAUGAUUAAAUGAUGGAACUAAAACUUAACUGAACAUGCAUUGCAAUGCAUUUUGUGUAUUUAUUAUUCAUUAUGAUCUCUUAUUUAAUUGGUUGGGUAUUCACUUAUACUUAGUAAUUGCUAAUAAAAUUUGGACCAACUUAAUUAAAAGUGAUGCUCAGCCUUAAUCAUUUUUCUUUGGUAAGCCUUACAAUGCACUUUCCCCACACAUGCUGAGCGAUGACCAUAUGGAAGCUCACCCUUACUAUAAUCACACCAGGUCAAGAACAAGUACGGCUGGAGGAGCAUGAAGGAUGAUGCAAUGAGUCCGGAGAGGUCUAGGUCAUCGUCUCCCAAUCAACUUUGAUGGCGGAGGAUCGUUGUUGCCAUAUGGUGUAAUUUAUUUAGUUAUUUUGUAUAGAACUUGUAUUAAGUAAUAAAAAUUUGAC